Molecule: ribosomal RNA, 468 nt
Filed under: uncultured bacterium
Lineage: Bacteria
Description: partial 16S ribosomal RNA
Rfam family: Bacterial small subunit ribosomal RNA
Source: RNAcentral
GAUGGACGCUGGCGGCGUGCUUAACACAUGCAAGUCGAACGGAAAGGCCAGUGCUUGCACUGGUACUCGAGUGGCGAACGGGUGAGUAACACGUGGGUGAUCUGCCCUGCACUUCGGGAUAAGCCUGGGAAACUGGGUCUAAUACCGGAUAGGACAAUGGUUUGGAUGCCGUUGUGGAAAGUUUUUUCGGUGUGGGAUGAGCUCGCGGCCUAUCAGCUUGUUGGUGGGGUAAUGGCCUACCAAGGCGUCGACGGGUAGCCGGCCUGAGAGGGUGUACGGCCACAUUGGGACUGAGAUACGGACCAGACUCCUACGGGAAGCAGCAGCGGGGAAUAUUGCACAAUGGGCGCAAGCCUGAUGCAGCGACGCCGCGUGGGGGAUGACGGCCUUCGGGUUGUAAACUCCUUUCGCUAGGGACGAAGCGUAUUUGUGACGGUACCUGGAGAAGAAGCACCGGCUAACUACGUG